Molecule: transfer RNA, 79 nt
Rfam family: tRNA
About the family: Transfer RNA (tRNA) molecules are approximately 80 nucleotides in length. Their secondary structure includes four short double-helical elements and three loops (D, anti-codon, and T loops).
Source: Rfam
GGUCUAAUAGUGUAGAGGUUAGCACAUGGGAUUUUGAAACAAUUUUCCCAUAACCCAGGUUCGAGUCCUGGUUAGACCU